UGAAUCCUUGGAGUUUUUGUUCACAAUCUUGAGUUGAAAAAAAACUCAAUUUCAAGUGAAAUCCUCAAGGUAUUCUCUAUUCUGAGUUUAUGGGAUUGAUUGGCAAAGUUGGGGCCAGGUUCCUCCUUCAUUCUGAGGCAACGAUAAUGUAUUUAUAGGCAAAUGAAAUGAUUUCCACACCAUUCAAAGGUUGAACCAAAUAUAGAAAUUCAUGGUGCAUGGACGCGUGUUCAGGGCCAAAUGAUGAUUGCAAUCCACUCAAAUUUGUGCCAAAAUGCUAC
Molecule: long non-coding RNA, 281 nt
Filed under: Lathyrus oleraceus (garden pea)
Lineage: Eukaryota; Viridiplantae; Streptophyta; Magnoliopsida; Fabales; Fabaceae
Description: Pisum sativum (pea) long non-coding RNA (PSAT_LNC031945)
Source: RNAcentral